Long non-coding RNA from Monodelphis domestica (gray short-tailed opossum), 1056 nucleotides. RefSeq lists it as uncharacterized. Lineage: Eukaryota; Metazoa; Chordata; Mammalia; Didelphimorphia; Didelphidae. The record is from RefSeq and is a predicted model, not a curated record.
GAUGAUCACAUGACUUUUUGUGUUGCUCAGUUUUGUUUUGUUUGUUUGUUUGUUUUUCAUCUAAAAUUAGAGAACUCAAAGACCAACUAGAAGGGGAUUAAUACCCUCAUUUCGUACCUCUGGGAUCUACUUAUGGAUAUAGCCCAAACAAGAGACAGAAAAUCUGGUUCCUGUAUACCUUCCAUUAAAUGAUGCCCAUCUGUGAUCACCACAUGGUGAUGGUGCUGGAAGGUUUUAGAUUCUACAGUCUCUAAGUGAAAACUAUGGAAUGCUUCAAUACUGCUCCAAGAAGGUUGGAACUACUAGAUGUUUUUAUAAUGCAGUUCACAGGGAUUUUGUGACUUACCAUCUUUUUCAUAUGAAGGACUACAUGCAAGAUAUUAUGCCAAGCAAUGAGAAUAAGAUGGAUACAGCAUAGUUCCUGCCUUCAAACAGAUUCUCUAAUGGGGCAAAUGACAGUCCAUAAAUAAGUGCAAUGCAAGGCACCAUGGGCUGGGAGAAAGACCAAACCAAGGUGUCAUAGGAAAAUUUGAGGAGAAAGAUGAUUUCAGCUGGAAAGUGAAAUAAAAGAGUAAACUGAAUGAAACUACUACUUGUUUGAAAUAAAGAGGUAAACUGACUUUGACUUGAGAGAAAGUAUUUCUUACUGAGAUAGAGAAAGGUAAACUGAGGGCAACCUGUUUCUUUGGCAAUGACUGUUGUUCUCUGGCUGGCUGUGACUAGAGAGGGCUGCCUAUAGGAACCUGAGGCUGCUUAUUGUUAAUGGAGGGAUGCCACACACACAGAGAUGCUGGUACACAGAGGAACUACUUAUAAAAGAAUGCCCUGGGGUUUAUCCUGGGAUCUGCCUAUUGAUCCCUACUGAUUGCUGAUGGAUCAAUCUAUGUCCUAACUUCCUUCCUCCCUCACUCCCUCCCUUAGCCAACAUUUUUCACUCAGUUCUUCUUGAAGCCUUUGGCUCCUUCCCUCCCUCCUGAGUGAACUAUAAAGAUACUCUAGUUGCUUCUCAGUCAAGGGGUUUAUUGGGAUAACAGAAUGGGAAACUGAGGUAAGAGG